RNAcentral lists this ribosomal RNA (459 nucleotides) under uncultured bacterium. Its description in RNAcentral is "partial 16S ribosomal RNA". It matches the Rfam family "Bacterial small subunit ribosomal RNA", at positions 338 to 795 of the family's 1533-position model. The record is from RNAcentral.
CCUACGGGUGGCAGCAGUGAGGAAUAUUGGUCAAUGGGCGAGAGCCUGAACCAGCCAAGUCGCGUGAGGGAAGACGGUCCUAUGGAUUGUAAACCUCUUUUGCCGGGGAGCAAAAAGCGGUACGUGUACCGCAUCGAGAGUACCCGGAGAAAAAGCAUCGGCUAACUCCGUGCCAGCAGCCGCGGUAAUACGGAGGAUGCGAGCGUUAUCCGGAUUUAUUGGGUUUAAAGGGUGCGCAGGCGGCGAGUUAAGUCAGCGGUAAAAUUUCGGGGCUCAACCCCGACAAGCCGUUGAAACUGGCUUGCUAGAGUGGGCGAGAAGUAUGCGGAAUGCGUGGUGUAGCGGUGAAAUGCAUAGAUAGCACGCAGAACCCCGAUUGCGAAGGCAGCCUGCCAAGCCAUGACUGACGCUGAUGCACGAAAGCGUGGGGAUCAAACAGGAUUAGAUACCCCUGUAGUC